CAGUCGCCGCGGGAAUACGGAGGGUGCAAGCGUUAUCCGGAUUUAUUGGGUUUAAAGGGUCCGUAGGCGGAUCUGUAAGUCAGUGGUGAAAUCUCACAGCUUAACUGUGAAACUGCCAUUGAUACUGCAGGUCUUGAGUAAAUUUGAAGUGGCUGGAAUAAGUAGUGUAGCGGUGAAAUGCAUAGAUAUUACUUAGAACACCAAUUGCGAAGGCAGGUCACUAAGAUUUAACUGACGCUGAUGGACGAAAGCGUGGGGAGCGAACAGGAUUAGAUACCCGGUAGUCCCUGUCUCUUAUACC
RNAcentral lists this ribosomal RNA (301 nucleotides) under uncultured bacterium. RNAcentral describes it as "partial 16S ribosomal RNA". It matches the Rfam family "Bacterial small subunit ribosomal RNA", at positions 509 to 808 of the family's 1533-position model. The record is from RNAcentral.